RNAcentral lists this ribosomal RNA (260 nucleotides) under uncultured bacterium. RNAcentral's name for it is "partial 16S ribosomal RNA". It matches the Rfam family "Bacterial small subunit ribosomal RNA", at positions 793 to 1055 of the family's 1533-position model. The record is from RNAcentral.
GUCCACCCCGUAAACGUUGGGAACUAGUUGUGGGUCCACUCCACGGAUUCCGUGACGCAGCUAACGCAUUAAGUUCCCGCCUGGGAGUACGGCCGCAAGGCUAAACUCAAAGGAAUUGACGGGGACCCGCACAAGCGGCGGAGCAUGCGGAUUAAUUCGAUGCAACGCGAAGAACCUUACCAAGGCUUGACAUAUACGAGAACGGGCCAGAAAUGGUCAACUCUUUGGACACUCGUAAACAGGUGGUGCAUGGUUGUCGU